This 460-nucleotide ribosomal RNA is filed under the name uncultured Prevotella sp. RNAcentral's name for it is "bacterial SSU rRNA". It matches the Rfam family "Bacterial small subunit ribosomal RNA", at positions 338 to 795 of the family's 1533-position model. The record is from RNAcentral. Lineage: Bacteria; Pseudomonadati; Bacteroidota; Bacteroidia; Bacteroidales; Prevotellaceae.
CCUACGGGUGGCAGCAGUGAGGAAUAUUGGUCAAUGGGCGGAAGCCUGAACCAGCCAAGUAGCGUGCAGGAUGACGGCCCUAUGGGUUGUAAACUGCUUUUAUGCGGGGAUAAAGUGAGGGACGUGUCCUUCAUUGCAGGUACCGCAUGAAUAAGGACCGGCUAAUUCCGUGCCAGCAGCCGCGGUAAUACGGAAGGUCCGGGCGUUAUCCGGAUUUAUUGGGUUUAAAGGGAGCGUAGGCCGUGGAUUAAGCGUGUUGUGAAAUGUAGACGCUCAACGUCUGACUUGCAGCGCGAACUGGUUCACUUGAGUAUGCGCAACGUAGGCGGAAUUCGUCGUGUAGCGGUGAAAUGCUUAGAUAUGACGAAGAACUCCGAUUGCGAAGGCAGCUUGUGGGAGCAUAACUGACGCUGAAGCUCGAAAGUGCGGGUAUCGAACAGGAUUAGAUACCCCUGUAGUC